Molecule: ribosomal RNA, 497 nt
Filed under: uncultured bacterium
Lineage: Bacteria
Description: partial 16S ribosomal RNA
Rfam family: Bacterial small subunit ribosomal RNA
Source: RNAcentral
GAUGAACGCUGGCGGCGUGCCUAAUACAUGCAAGUCGAGCGAACAGACGAGGAUCUUGCUCCUCUGACGUUAGCGGCGGACGGGUGAGUAACACGUGGAUAACCUACCUAUAAGACUGGGAUAACUUCGGGAAACCGGAGCUAAUACCGGAUAAUAUAUUGAACCGCAUGGUUCAAUAGUUUAAGACGGUUUUGCUGUCACUUAUAGAUGGAUCCGCGCCGCAUUAGCUAGUUGGUAAGGUAACGGCUUACCAAGGCAACGAUGCGUAGCCGACCUGAGAGGGUGAUCGGCCAGACUGGAAGUGAGACACGGUCCAGACUCCUACGGGAGGCAGCAGUAGGGAAUAUUCCGCAAUGGGCGAAAGCAUGACGGAGCAACGCCGCGUGAGUGAUGAAGGUCUUCGGAUCGUAAAACUCUGUUAUUAGGGAAGAACAAAUGUGUAAGUAACUAUGCACGUAUUGACGGUACCUAAUCAGAAAGCCACGGCUAACUACGUG